Molecule: unclassified non-coding RNA, 342 nt
Filed under: soil metagenome
Description: partial contains 5.8S ribosomal RNA, internal transcribed spacer 2, and large subunit ribosomal RNA
Rfam family: 5.8S ribosomal RNA (bases 1-120)
Source: RNAcentral
GAUGAAGAACGUAGCGAAAUGCGAUAAGUAAUGUGAAUUUCAGAAUUCAGUGAAUCAUCGAAUCUUUGAACGCACAUUGCGCCCGCCAGCACUCUGGCGGGCAUGCCUGUUCGAGCGUCAUUUCAACCAUCAAGCCCCCAGGGGCUUGUGCUGGGGCCCUGCGGCUGCCCGCAGGCCCUGAAAACCAGUGGCGGGCUCGCUAGUCACACCGAGCGCAGUAGCACAUCUCGCUCAGGGCGUGCGGCGGGCUCCUGCCGUGAAACCCCCCACUGUAACCCCAAAGGUUGACCUCGGAUCAGGUAGGAAUACCCGCUGAACUUAAGCAUAUCAAUAAGCGGAGGA